AUUGAACGCUGGCGGCAUGCCUUACACAUGCAAGUCGAACGGCAGCACGGGUGCUUGCACCUGGUGGCGAGUGGCGAACGGGUGAGUAAUACAUCGGAACAUGUCCUGUAGUGGGGGAUAGCCCGGCGAAAGCCGGAUUAAUACCGCAUACGAUCCAUGGAUGAAAGCGGGGGACCUUCGGGCCUCGCGCUAUAGGGUUGGCCGAUGGCUGAUUAGCUAGUUGGUGGGGUAAAGGCCUACCAAGGCGACGAUCAGUAGCUGGUCUGAGAGGACGACCAGCCACACUGGGACUGAGACACGGCCCAGACUCCUACGGGAGGCAGCAGUGGGGAAUUUUGGACAAUGGGCGAAAGCCUGAUCCAGCAAUGCCGCGUGUGUGAAGAAGGCCUUCGGGUUGUAAAGCACUUUUGUCCGGAAAGA
Molecule: ribosomal RNA, 420 nt
Filed under: Burkholderia cepacia
Lineage: Bacteria; Pseudomonadati; Pseudomonadota; Betaproteobacteria; Burkholderiales; Burkholderiaceae
Description: bacterial SSU rRNA
Rfam family: Bacterial small subunit ribosomal RNA
Source: RNAcentral